CCGGUUUAAUCGAUUCAAAACCUUGCAUUUAGACACGAUUUCAGUUUCAAUCACUCAGCCAUAAUCAUCGCAAUUGACUCGGAAUCAAAUUCCAACUCAAGACUCGCAUAUAAAAUUAACACUACUCUAAUAGUACUAGUCAACUUGGCAUCUCCAGACCAAAAGUGUUAUGGGUCUAAGAAUGCACAUGGGCAUUACAAACAAGAUUCACAAAAAGACACCCUUUCCAUUCAACAACAACCAGACAUUUACCAUUACAAGAAAAUUUAACAGAAACAUCUCCUAUCAGCUUCUAAACCACAAUGGUUGAUCUGAUAAAACAAAACACAACCCUCCCAACCCACAAAACAUAGCUAAAACUUAUUUAUUUCACAGUCAUAUUAUGUAUAGUAAUCAACAGCAAAGGGUAUUUCUAUGGGUCUUGCUGAUUUCUUUAUUAGCCCAUUUCAUGCCCCUGCUUUAACUAUGUAACCAGUUCUAGACCUACAAGACAAGGGAAAUACAGCAACUGAUAUCAGUUCUUAGCCAGGGAAAGCUUUCACUGGUUUGCAGAGCCUACAAGUACGAUAGGUCCAUCCCUAAAGAACACAAGCGUUCUUGCAGAGUGCUUGCAAUUUUUCAUUAGAACCAGCCUGAAACAUCCUGCUGCUUUGGCAGAGAAUCCAUUGCUAAGCCCUGCAAGUCCUCUUUGUAAUCAAAUGAAGAUAAAUCGAAUGGAGAGCCAAACAUCAGAUUGAAGCUGUUGCUGUUAUUGUUAUGGUUGUUGCUGUGCUGAUUGCUCUCAAAUGCAGGAUUCAAAGAUUUAAACCUGUCGAAUUGACAACCAUCCUGUGAAAACAUUUGAUGGUUACUGUGGAUGUUUGAUUCCUCGAAGAUAGUUCCCUCCAUCAUAUUGCCUUGACCUCGGAAGUAAUUGUCCGGCUGAUGAUGAAUUUUCUGCUGGAAAAUAUUGUGACAUUCAGCUACUCCAUUGUUGCCAGAACUUGCGUUCUUGUUUCCUUGGAUGUUCGUGUCAUAGAUUGACAUGAGCUCAUUGAUCAUCUUUUGCCCAUCUUCCGGAACUCCCGAUAGAUCAAAGGCAGUUGCACCUGUGUUCAUCAUUGGAGCAGCAGGCUUCGAUUGAGCACAGGGUUGAGGAAAGAUCACAGGCUUCACUUCAUUAACAUGAAAAUUUGAACCUGCAAACUCUAAAGAACAGCUUCUGUAUGGGCAAGUUAAUUGAUGAUUGUCCCUAGAUGUCCUGUCAUGGAAACCCAAGCGGAGUUGGCUGUAAGGACAUUGAACAAACUCGCAUGUAUAUAUCUUCUGAUCCACCAUCAUGUUUAUAUCGGCGGAUGACUUUCUCUUUCUAAUAAAAUCAACAUUGGUGAUAAUUUCCCCCUUAAUUGGAUAAGGUUGUAGAAGUGGCAGCCUGUCCCUCAUCCUCUCCAUUCCCAGAUUGGAAGAACUGAUAUUCUCAGGUUUGUACUCCACUACAUCGAAGUUCGGCUCAUCUUCAACCCCUUCAACAUCAUACUCACUGCAAUCAUGAAUGACCAAAGACCCACUCCCCCCAGCUGAUGACAGAGUCGGGCAGGAGUUGGGGUAAAGCUCUCGGGCCAAGGCCUCCUCUUGGUUGAUAAUUGCAAGCCAGGUAGCACUUUCCUUGGCUGUCAUCUUGUCCUGCAAACACUUGGACUGUCUCACAAGCUUACGAAUCUUGGCAAUGUCAGGAGACAUAUGCUUAAUGACUGCAGUGAGAACCCCCACCUUCCAUGCCUUCUUCAAGUCAUGAGGCUUCUUGUAAGGUGGAGGGCCCUGAUCCUUUGGUAAGCCUAGUUGAGGCCACCACUCUUCAUUUCCAGUAGGCCACCAUGGCGGAGGAACGCCUUUCUCUAGAGGAAACCGCCUCUGAGGAGGGUCACAGUGCUGCAUCAGUGCUGAUAAGAGCGAACCCAGAGUUGUAUCUUGAAGCUCCUGCAAGGUAUGUGGAGUUGGACCAAUUGAAUUACAACCCUCAUUUUUGCCAGGGAUCGAAUUGUCUGCUUGGUACUUCGCUAUGGCAGCCGGACCAUUUCGAUCAAACCUUACUUUAUCCUUCCACCACUCUCGAAGAUUAUCAGAAGCCCCAGUCACUGGCUUUCCUUUCUCUGGGAUAAUCCCAUAAACAAAACCCUGAGCUUUACAAACUUCCAUCAUCUUCAACAUAUAUUUUAAGAUACCAUCUUGUGCCCUUGACAUCUUCUUCCUCCUAGCCUGCUCCUGAGACUGCCGCUGCUUAGCAAUAUCGAUACCUUCCUUAUUCUUGUUCUGCUCUUUCACCCUUUUAAUACGCAUCUUGUACCUCCACAUCCUACGCUCAAGCUCAUCAACAUCAGUAUCCUCGUCACUGUAAUCAUCCUCCACGGUAGGCUCUGGGUCAGCUUGUGGAGCGGUCACAUCUUCCCCAAGAGGAGCAGAGAAGAAAUCCAUAUCACCACAAAAUCCUAUUUCAUCAAACAUCAUCAUUUUUAACCUGUAGGAUCUCAAAUGGCCAAGAACCCUCAAACUGUCUUAUUGCAACCUCCGUAUUUUCAAACUUGGAAAUCUAAGGAACAUUUCCUUCCAUAAGGAAGAGAUUCCAGGUCACUACAGCAACAGAGAGACUGUCUCUACAACUGGAGAAGGAGAAAGAGCAAAAGGAGAAGUAGCCUGGUAUAAUAUUUUGGUAAGGGUGUUAAAUAAAGAGAAGGAGAAUACUUGGCGAGUGUGUAAGUGGGCAGUGGGGUUAAAGUAACAAAGCACUUAAACCCAUGAACCAUGAAGAAGGAGAGAGAGAGAGGUUAAUCGAAUCCAAGCAUUGGGAUGUCCGUUUCUGAAGAGUAUUUAAGAUAAGAAAGUGAGUGUUGGGGCCGUCGCGUCGUUGUAAGAGUAAAGUCGUAUGAUCCUCUUCUCUCUUACUACCUUCCUUCUUC
This 2933-nucleotide unclassified non-coding RNA is filed under the name Hevea brasiliensis (rubber tree). The record is from RNAcentral. Lineage: Eukaryota; Viridiplantae; Streptophyta; Magnoliopsida; Malpighiales; Euphorbiaceae.